GACGUGUUUGUUUCCUGCUCUCAGGAAAAUGUUACUUGAAAGAGGAAUUGAGGCUAAAUGUGUAUUUCCAAAUUUGCAUCUCCACACCUUCCUCAUGCCUAUCUUGUCUCCUUUAGACUCUCAACCAGUUGCUAGUUUAACAUACCCCCCUUCUUCUUACAUAUCCCCUUAGAAUUGGAUCCCCCACUCUGAGGUCAUACCAGAAAAUUUUCCUUUGCUGUAAAUAUCAGUGUAAUUGCAUCAUCAAAAGCCCCUAAAGCAGAUGGUCUGGGUUAAAGCAAAAAGACAUUUAUGCCAGUGAAACAGUAUUAUAGUUAUUAGUGCAGUGUGUUGGCAGUUUCUGUCAGCAAUUUUUGCAACCAUGUAAUAUAUGAAAGGAUAAAAACACUAUUUACUGUGAUUUGCUUGCCACAUAAAGAUGCCAGAGUGAUAUAGUACCAAAAACAGGAAGAAAAGCCCUCCAAGUAGUCUUUUGUCCUGUCUUUUGCACUUUUCCACGUUCUUGGUAGAUACACUAAAUCGAAGAACCUUAUGCUCCUUAUGGGGACUCGGACACCUCCUUAUCCAGCAGCCUCCAGGCAGCCUGAGCCAUCCUGGAUGAUGAUUAUGAUCUUCAAGAUUCCUUCCAACCCAAGCCAUCUUUGUGAUCCUUGGGCAUACAGAACCAUCAGCUUCAUAAGGAGCUGGAUGCCAACGGUUGUGUGCAUCCAGGAGCUCAGAGGAAUCAGCAAAUCUCCUCCAGCAGAGCUACGAAUCCCCAGUCCAGUUCAUUCAGGCGCAGCGGGACCGCCGGGAAUUAAUCCGAGGGGGAAUGCUGUGAAUUCCUGCGCUCUCUCUCUUUGCUGGGCGCAGCUGGUGGCGGGGCCACUGCCAGAUGAAAGCAGGGCUGUCAGCUCCCAGCAGCCUGGCUCCAGCUGCAUUCCAGGGCACGGACUGGCCUCAGCUGGUCCUCGGGUGCCGCUUCCCUCUGCCAGGUUACCAAGCCCUGGGGUCUCGGGGUGCAGGUGAACACUGCUCACCUGUUUACUCCUCUGGAGAGGUGAGGAAUGAUCAGAACAUGCAACUCCUUCUGCACAGUGGAGGAAUUAUUUACUGCAGAUACAGACUGACAAUAAAUUAGUACACCCCCAAGAGUCUGGAAGGAAC
This 1146-nucleotide long non-coding RNA is filed under the name Manacus vitellinus (golden-collared manakin). Its description in RNAcentral is "lncRNA (ENSMVIG00005007094.1)". The record is from RNAcentral. Lineage: Eukaryota; Metazoa; Chordata; Aves; Passeriformes; Pipridae.